This 253-nucleotide ribosomal RNA is filed under the name uncultured bacterium. RNAcentral describes it as "partial 16S ribosomal RNA". It matches the Rfam family "Bacterial small subunit ribosomal RNA", at positions 524 to 776 of the family's 1533-position model. The record is from RNAcentral.
GACGUAGGGCGCGAGCGUUGUCCGGAUUUAUUGGGCGUAAAGAGCUCGUAGGCGGCUUGUCGCGUCGAAUGUGAAAUCUCAGGGCUCAACUCUGACAUUGCAUUCGAUACGGGCAGGCUAGAGUUCGGUAGGGGAGACUGGAAUUCCUGGUGUAGCGGUGAAAUGCGCAGAUAUCAGGAGGAACACCGGUGGCGAAGGCGGGUCUCUGGGCCGAUACUGACGCUGAGGAGCGAAAGCCAGGGGAGCAAACGGG